AACACAGCCAGAACAGCUUUGGAUAUGAUGUUGAGUACCUGCUCACAAAGAUAUUUGGAAUAUGUUCAUAUUUUUUACCGUCAGAGUAGAAAGACUGAAGGGCUUUUGUGAGUUUGUUGGCCAGGAGUACCAUAACAUUUUAGGACACAGAAAUGUUUGCUGGAUGUCCAUGCUCCCUGCUCUAGAAAGGGUGCUGAAAAUGUGCCAUUGAAAUCCUUUUUUUUUUUUUUUCUGAAGACAAAUGCCCUGUUGUCCUGUGAACAAUGUUCGAAGAUCCACUGACUGAACUUUGGCUGGCCUUUGUCCAUGGAAACCUGACCGUAUUCAGUGACACGAUCAAGAUGCUUGGAGGCCAGGACCACUGUGCUGUGGAGUCCGCUGCAAUUCUGAGAAACAUUGAGGCAAAAUUGACUGAUGACAACUUCAUUCCAGUUUUGGUCAGAGGACUUCUGAGAGAACUAGAGGACAAUGGAGACAUGUCUAAAGAGAGCUUUCUCAAACCAUCCCAAUCAUUCUUCACUACGGCUGUGAACUACUUGCAAGCAUGGGGAAAGCACACAGAUCAUCUAAAAGAUUGACAUUGUCUCCUUUUAAAAAGGCAACCUCAGCGUGAAGAGAUCCAGAAGGCAGCAGGCACACUGCAGUAAAAAUGCCCCAAUGUGACCAUCAAUGAGGAUGCAUUGUUUGACAAGGUUACUGGCCUGUAAGAGUUCCUAAAGGGAGGAUUGCUUGAAGAAUGGAAAGCAUCUGAGACACCGCUUAGUCAGAGAUGGAGCACGGUGGUUACCCACUUCAAAGAGAAUGACAUCCCACACACUAACCUGGCUAGAUUAGCGUCUGUUGUCAUGUGCUUACCUGGAAGUAAUGCACCAGUCGAGAGAGUGUUCUCCCAAAUGAAUGCUCUAUGGACAGCAGCAAGAAAUAGGUUCACUGUUCCUACCACCAAGGCCAUGCUUAUUGUGAAGACAAAGUUAAACCUCCCCUGCCAGGAGUUCAUGGAGAAGCUGGCCAAAGACAGCAAUCCUGAAGAAAAUACAUUCUUCUGAGAAAUAUACAAAUUAGACUACCAGGACCACUGAAUGGCUGUUCAGAUCAGUUCUACCCAGACUACCAGGACCACUGAAUGGCUGUUCAGAUCAGUUCUACCCAGACUACCAGGACCACUGAAUGGCUGUUCAGAUCGGACAGUUCUGUCUUGUCUGUAGUGGUUCUGUAGUAUAGUUGUUUUCUCUAUCACAGUGUGCCUGUUAGACUAAAUACAUGAACCCGGAAUUGUCCCUUCUUUUUUUUACAUAAUAACAUUGGAUAUUUUAAUGAUAUAUUGACCACCAAACUGGAAAUGUCCCCGGUUUUCAUUUCAGAAAUCUGGUCACCUUCCACUAGACACAGUCUACAUGCUCAAUGCAGCACAUGCAACAAUGUUGAUGACAACGAUGUUGUUUCCACUUUGAUCUUAAUAUAAAUCCACAAGCGUUCUACAAUUACAAUAUUAGUUUGUGCUUCUUACAUCUGCAAACAACUAGUUCGUAUUUUCUUAGUAAGUUAAGCUAAAUCAUGUUAGCCACUAAUGCUCAUCGCUAGUUAGCUGGCUGAGUCAGCGCAAACGUAGCUAGCUACUGCAGCCUGAUAUCAGUACUGGUGGAGGCCUAAAUCAGCAUGUUGUUUGUACAACAGUAUCUUCUAAAUCAAAGAGGAAAAGGCGAAGCAUGAAUAUGUUGGCUAUAUGAAUAAAGCCAAAAAGUAUAGUGUCCCCUAGGAAACUCUGACCAUCACUUUGGUUCCUACCCUGUCACAAUAACUCGUCCAUGGCAUUUUCAUUCGUUGUCAUGUCACACAACACUGUAUUCAAAGUGCCCACUAUAAUUUAUAAUCUAACUAUAGAAUUAUAAUAAACAUUCUAUUUCCAUGAUUCCAAAAGUUCACCCAAGCGGUUCAAAAUAAUUUGAGAAAUACCACAACAUAAUAUUUUGGCCACAUCGCCCAGCCCUAAGAAAGAGCGAGAGAUAAGCAAUAGGUGGUUAUCCAGGCCCAUCAAUGCAUUCAGCCUAUAGUAGUGUUGUAUUUCCAUACCGAUACCAGGUUUAGUAUCAUGAUACUCGAUACCAUCACGAUACUCAAUAUCCCAAUAAAAAUGCCAUAAUAGCCAAAGUUCAAACAGAUAAACUCAGCUUCUGCUCUGUUCAAUCGUUGGGCAUCUUUAGAGUUACAUAUCAAUACAUUUCAAAUUUUUUAUGUCAAUAUUUUAUAAAUAGUCAUGUAUGCAUUAAUUAAUUAAAUUAUACAAUCAUAAAAUCAAUUUGAAUGAGUUUUUACCAAUCUAUCUACAAAACAACAUAAUGGUAAUCCUUUAUUCAAUGGUAAAUCUCUUAUUGGUAAACUGGGUAAAUCAAGAUGUAGCCUAGGUCUAUUCACAAUACAGGUGGAUGUAUAUUAUUCAAAAGGAGUGCAUUGAGUUAAUGAGCUCGUUUUAGCUGAUUUCAUGGAGCUACAGAUGACAAACAAUCCCUUCCAUUUAGGACUUAUAUUAUUGGCAACUGCUAGGAGAACAUAUUUUAUAGUACUGAUCAACAACAAUUGUAUAGAAGAAGCCAUCUCUUCUUUUUUUAAAGUGUGCUCUUUCUUUUAGGAAAGCAAUGACGUCAUUAGCAAGGCAGAGCGUGGCUGUGGAAUCUGACUAUGGAAUUUAGUGGAACCUAGACGGGAGGCGCGGGAGAUGAAAAAGUGACCGUUUUUGGUGACAAUCAGCAUAUUUUGCAUUACGGUUUGCACAUUAUCACAAACAAAGUACUUGGUUAGUGAAUUCAGCUGUAAGCAGGCAAAGACAGCUAGCCUACAAUUAAAGCUGAAAGCUACCGGUAUCGUCUUGUAAAAGUGUUGUAGCCUGUAUGGACAUUGUUUUGUGAACAGUAAUGAACAGCUUCAACAUUUCUA
Oncorhynchus kisutch (coho salmon) is the source of this 2931-nucleotide long non-coding RNA. RefSeq lists it as uncharacterized. The record is from RefSeq and is a predicted model, not a curated record. NCBI's taxonomy places the organism in Eukaryota, Metazoa, Chordata, Actinopteri, Salmoniformes, Salmonidae. The transcript is spliced from 2 exons.